CUUAGGACGAACGCUGGCGGCGUGCCUAAUACAUGCAAGUCGAACGGUCUUUCUAUGGAAGCUUGCUUCCACUGAGAAGAUAGUGGCGAACGGGUGAGUAACACGUGGGUAACCUGCCCAUAAGAGGGGGGAUAACAUCCGGAAACGGGUGCUAAUACCGCAUAGUUUCUUGAUCGCAUGAUCGGGAAAGGAAAGACGGCCUUUGUGCUGUCGCUUAUGGAUGGACCCGCGGCGUAUUAGUUAGUUGGUGAGGUAACGGCUCACCAAGACGAUGAUACGUAGCCGACCUGAGAGGGUGAUCGGCCACAUUGGGACUGAGACACGGCCCAAACUCCUACGGGAGGCAGCAGUAGGGAAUCUUCCGCAAUGGACGAAAGUCUGACGGAGCAACGCCGCGUGAGUGAAGAAAGGUUUUCGGAUCGUAAAACUCUGUUGUCAGAGAAGAACAAGUUGGAGAGUAACUGCUCCAGCCUUGACGGUAUCUGACCAGAAAGCCACGGCUAACUACGUGCCAGCAGCGGC
This 522-nucleotide ribosomal RNA is filed under the name uncultured bacterium. RNAcentral's name for it is "bacterial SSU rRNA". It matches the Rfam family "Bacterial small subunit ribosomal RNA", at positions 23 to 518 of the family's 1533-position model. The record is from RNAcentral.